UACAGUCAUAUCAGGUUGAAACACCGAUUCUCGCAGGAUCACCGAAGUUAAACAACGCUGAGCUUGGUCACUACAUAGAUGGGUGACCGCUUGGAAAUGCCAAGUGCUGUAAG
RNAcentral lists this ribosomal RNA (113 nucleotides) under Acanthosepion pharaonis. Lineage: Eukaryota; Metazoa; Mollusca; Cephalopoda; Sepiida; Sepiidae. The record is from RNAcentral.